This 638-nucleotide ribosomal RNA is filed under the name uncultured Bacteroidota bacterium. RNAcentral's name for it is "bacterial SSU rRNA". It matches the Rfam family "Bacterial small subunit ribosomal RNA", at positions 8 to 636 of the family's 1533-position model. Lineage: Bacteria; Pseudomonadati; Bacteroidota. The record is from RNAcentral.
AGAGUUUGAUCCUGGCUCAGGAUGAACGCUAGCUACAGGCUUAACACAUGCAAGUCGAGGGGCAUCAGGAAGAAAGCUUGCUUUCUUUGCUGGCGACCGGCGCACGGGUGAGUAACACGUAUCCAACCUGCCCUUUACUCGGGGAUAGCCUUUCGAAAGAAAGAUUAAUACCCGAUGGCAUAAUGAUUCCGCAUGGUUUCAUUAUUAAAGGAUUCCGGUAAAGGAUGGGGAUGCGUUCCAUUAGGUUGUUGGUGAGGUAACGGCUCACCAAGCCUUCGAUGGAUAGGGGUUCUGAGAGGAAGGUCCCCCACAUUGGAACUGAGACACGGUCCAAACUCCUACGGGAGGCAGCAGUGAGGAAUAUUGGUCAAUGGGCGAGAGCCUGAACCAGCCAAGUAGCGUGAAGGAUGACUGCCCUAUGGGUUGUAAACUUCUUUUAUAAAGGAAUAAAGUCGGGUAUGGAUACCCGUUUGCAUGUACUUUAUGAAUAAGGAUCGGCUAACUCCGUGCCAGCAGCCGCGGUAAUACGGAGGAUCCGAGCGUUAUCCGGAUUUAUUGGGUUUAAAGGGAGCGUAGAUGGAUGUUUAAGUCAGUUGUGAAAGUUUGCGGCUCAACCGUAAAAUUGCAGUUGAUACGGA